Molecule: long non-coding RNA, 1317 nt
Filed under: Mytilus galloprovincialis (Mediterranean mussel)
Lineage: Eukaryota; Metazoa; Mollusca; Bivalvia; Mytilida; Mytilidae
Source: RNAcentral
CCGUUUCGCGCCCUUUAAUCGUCUCCAUAUUGUAUUCCAUGAUAUACGAGAAGGAUGUUAUUAUUUCUAUUGCUCCUAGAUAAAAGAUUUAGUGACAACUACAUAUUUAGCAGUGAGUUUUUUUUUAGAUAAAAGAGAACAUUUACCGUUGCAACAUCCAAUAUUUUAACACUGAAUUUUGUUUAUUUUCAAUGUUCAUAUGUAUACAUGUAUCACAGUGUAAAAUCCGCUGGAAGUUCUAAAGACUGAAAUUGCUGAGUUUUACUCUGAGUAUAGACAAACUUGUGUAUCUGGAAACAUUCGAUUGCAUGAUUCAGAAAAUUGAAAUACAUCAUGACAUUAAUGAUUUAAAAAAAAAAAAAUAUUAUGGGGGUUUGAUCCGGUUGGGAACAAAUAUUCUCGAUGGUGUUUAUACCUUUAUAGAGGGAUUAAAGGAUACCUCUAUAGAGGGGUAUUUUUGUUUAGACUGGAUCCAAUUUUAUCCCUCUAUAGCAGGAUUAUCCCUCUAUACAGGUUUAAACACAUGUAUAGAGGGUUUGUUUCCAACCUGUUGAUAGGCAGAAGGAUUUGAAAAUACUAUAAAAUACAUUUUUUAUUGAAACUAUUAAUGCACAAAUGAUAUAUGUGGCUAAAGGUGUCAAUAUCAUUUUAGUCCGCUUUGCCUUACUGGUCGGGUUUAUUCACUUUUAUUAAAUAACAUGGAAUUCUUUUUCUUCUUUUUAUGGUAUCCAGUUAUCCAUCAGAUUUUUGAUGAUUACUAACUGCUGCAAAUGCGUAGGAUAAUAAUAAAUAAAUAUUUACAAAUGAAUUAUAUUAAGUGUCAAAAAUAAACAAAUACUAACAUGACAUGUGGUUAAUAGAUAUAGGAAGAUAUGUGGUGAGUGCCAAUGAGACAACUCUCCAUCCAAAUAACAAUUUAAAAAAAGUAAACCAUUAUAGGUCAAUGUACGGCCUUCAACACAGAGCCUUUUUACAAAACUACGUACUACAAUUGUUACUGUUCUAUAGUGUAGAGAACAGUAGGUGUCAACUGUUCUCUAAAAAUAUUAAGAGCAUGGGAAAGUACUACUUUUGGAGGAAGUAAAUUCAUUGUGUAAUAGUGAACGGAAAAAAAUUAAUGUCUGUUGAACAUUGACAUUCCUAAUUUAUUAUGGAAGAGGAAAAUUUGUUAUCAAACAAAUUUUAAUUCAAUGCUAAUUAUAAAAAGAAAAUGUGGUAUUAUUGCCAAUGAGACAACUGUCCACAAGAGACCAAGAUGACACAGACAUUAACAACUAUAGGUCACCACCGUAUGGCCUUCAACAAUGAGCAAAGCCC